GGCCUGAUGCCACGUCUCUGGUAGCCAAAGCCUUUACAGGAGAUGCUACAUUUUGCUUACAGAUAUUUUCACAUUUGAUAGGUACCUGUGGCUGUGAUUUAGUCGAUGCACAAAACUGUUUUUUUGCGAUUACAUUU
Molecule: non-coding RNA, 137 nt
Organism: Hordeum vulgare subsp. vulgare (domesticated barley)
Lineage: Eukaryota; Viridiplantae; Streptophyta; Magnoliopsida; Poales; Poaceae
Source: Rfam